Molecule: long non-coding RNA, 1484 nt
Organism: Perognathus longimembris pacificus (Pacific pocket mouse)
Lineage: Eukaryota; Metazoa; Chordata; Mammalia; Rodentia; Heteromyidae
Exons: 3
Source: RefSeq, a predicted model, not a curated record
GGGAAGACUUCACUGAAAAGAGUUCAGAUGACAUAGAGUAGGUGGGAAGACGCACUCUGCCAUAACACAUGCAGAGGCAGGGCAGCACUGAGAAGCAGUACAAGGUCCCAGCCACUGAACAUUCCCAAAGAGUAGACAGAUACAAAGACAGAAUGGAAGCCAUCUCAUAAGCUAGAGCAUAGAGAGCCAUUGUAUUCUAAACAAAAAAAUGGGACAACCAUUAUGUAAGAUUUUAGCAUCUUUCCCAAUAGUUCAAAAGAUGAAUGCAUGUAAUACAGAAAGAGUCCAAUUAUGAUUAUAAAAAAUAGACUAAUAAAAAAUGGACUAAAGAACGCUAUUAAGGAAGGUGAAAUCAGUAUGACUUGGUGACGAGAGAGAAAAAGGGAUGAGAUAAAAAUGUCUUAAGGAUGAUCACCAAGUCAAAGAUUUUAGUACCUGGUGGCCAAAGAUUCAUUUAUAAAAAUAGGAAAGAAGGGAACAGAUAAAGAACACAGCUGGGAACACAAGUUUGACAUGUAUAUAUGAUACAUACAUAUGUAUAUACAUGUUUGUAUAUAUAAAUAUAUACUAAUAGAAGCUGACUGUCUACUUGUACACUCAGAAAACCUGAAAUUAGUGACUUAAGGUCUCACGAUUAUAUGAGAAUUUGAAGCAGCUGAAAUAAAUAGACAAACUUACAGAAGAAAUGGAGGGGGGGGGGGUUGAAAGGCACAAAGCAGAGAUGUCUUCCAUGGGAUUAAUGAGCGACAGACAGAAGGAAAUAAGUAAUAGUUUAGAAAAGAGCUCCUAUGGGAUGAUUCCUAUCGCAAUUGUGGUAACUUAAUGCCAUGCUAUGUCCACUCUUUUGGCACCUGCUGCAAUUCUAAUCCUUCCUACAGCAAAAGUAAAGCACUGAAGAAAAGGUUCACAUCUUUCUCAUUUUCUAAAACCAUCCAUUCAUUGAAAUUUUCACUUCCAGUGUAUCAGAAGAGGUGUUUGGGCUGAGAUGAAGGUUAUGUUGAUGGAAUCCUCAACAAUGGAAUUGGCACCCUUAUUGAAGAGAUCAAUGAAACUCACUGUUGAACAUAUAUUUAUAAACAUGCAGGGGCCCUAAGUUCAAACCCUAAAAUAAGUCAGAAGGAGAGAGGGAUGGGCCCCACUAAGAGAGCUCUUUCUUUUUCCUACAUGAGUACACAAGGAAGAGUUGACUUCUGCCACCCAGAAAAGGAACCUCAGCAAAUAAAACUGACCAUGCUCAUGGUUUGACCUCAAGACUUCUAGCCAUGAGAGAACUGCGAAGAAUGAAUUUCUGGCAGGAAGGAAGGAAGGGGGGAGGAGAGGAAUGGAGAGGAAGUAGCAGCAGUAUAGGAAGGAUAUGGGGCAAAGAGUAGGAAAUCAGAGGGAUAAACAGUCCACCAUACCAUGUCAAGUGCAAAAGUGAAAUAAGACAACUCAGGAAACCACUGAAGUUAGAGUUGGGGCAUCCUGGUCAAAUAUGAGCUUCA